AGCCUCAUGAACUUUAUAUGAGGUAUUUCCUGCCCGGUGAAUAUUUUAACGGCCGCAGUACCCUGACUGUGCAAAGGUAGCAUAAUCAUUUGCCUUUUAAUUGGAGGCUAGUAUGAAUGGAGCCACGCGAAUAAAGCUGUCUCUAAUAUAUAAAUAAAAACUAGACUCUAAGUGAAAAUACUUAGAUUAAAAUAAAGGACAAAAAGACCCUAUAGAGCUGUAUUUAUACUGGCCACGAAAAGCAUUAUACAUUUGACUCACUUCUCUAUAAAUUUGGUUGGGGCGACAAAGGAAUAUGCAAAUCUUCCUUCUGUAAAAAGAAAACAAUUCUUACAAAAGAUCCUAUAAAGAUCAAAGGAAAAAGCUACCUUAGGGAUAACAGACUAAUCUCCUUAGAGAGCCCAAAUUGACAAGGAGGAUUGGCACCUCGAUGUUGGCUUAAGAUAUCCUUUAGGUGCAGAAGCCUAAAAAGGUUGGUUUGUUCAACCAUUAAAAUCUU
RNAcentral lists this ribosomal RNA (499 nucleotides) under Glycera lapidum. RNAcentral's name for it is "partial 16S ribosomal RNA". It matches the Rfam family "Bacterial large subunit ribosomal RNA", at positions 1817 to 2597 of the family's 2925-position model. The record is from RNAcentral. Lineage: Eukaryota; Metazoa; Annelida; Polychaeta; Phyllodocida; Glyceridae.